RNAcentral lists this ribosomal RNA (1400 nucleotides) under uncultured bacterium. RNAcentral's name for it is "bacterial SSU rRNA". It matches the Rfam family "Bacterial small subunit ribosomal RNA". The record is from RNAcentral.
UUAGAGUUUGAUCCUGGCUCAGGAUGAACGCUAGCGACAGGCUUAACACAUGCAAGCCGAGGGGCAGCAUGAAGUUACUUCGGUAACUUUGAUGGCGACCGGCGCACGGGUGCGUAACGCGUAUGCAACCUACCCAUAACUCUUGGAUAGCCCAUGGAAACGUGGAUUAAUACAGGAUGGUCUGAAUGAAUCGCAUGAUUUUUUCAGUAAAGAAUUUCGGUUAUGGAUGGGCAUGCGUUCCAUUAGGUAGUAGGUGAGGUAACGGCUCACCUAGCCCAUGAUGGAUAGGGGUUCUGAGAGGAAGGUCCCCCACAUUGGAACUGAGACACGGUCCAAACUCCUACGGGAGGCAGCAGUGAGGAAUAUUGGUCAAUGGUCGAGAGACUGAACCAGCCAAGUCGCGUGAGGGAUGACUGCCCUAUGGGUUGUAAACCUCUUUUGUUUGGGAAGAAUAAGCUUUACGAGUAGAGCGAUGCCGGUACCAAACGAAUAAGCAUCGGCUAACUCCGUGCCAGCAGCCACGGUAAUACGGGGGAUGCGAGCGUUAUCCGGAUUUAUUGGGUUUAAAGGGUGCGUAGGCGGUAGAUUAAGUUAGUGGUUAAAUCGAGAGGCUCAACCUCUUUCAGCCAUUAAUACUGGUCAACUAGAGUGUGGACGAGGUAGGCGGAAUAAGUCAAGUAGCGGUGAAAUGCUUAGAUAUGACUUAGAACUCCGAUAGCGAAGGCAGCUUACCAGGCCAUAACUGACGCUGAAGCACGAGAGCGUGGGUAGCGAACAGGAUUAGAUACCCUGGUAGUCCACGCCGUAAACGAUGCUCACUAGCUCUGUGCGAUAUGACAGUACGGGGUUAAGCGAAGGGGAUAAGUGAGCCACCUGGGGAGUACGCCGGCAACGGUGAAACUCAAAGGAAUUGACGGGGGCCCGCACAAGCGGAGGAACAUGUGGUUUAAUUCGAUGAUACGCGAGGAACCUUACCCGGGUUCAAAUGUUGGAUGCAUAUCGGUGAAAGUCGGUUUCCCUUCGGGGCUGCCAACAAGGUGCUGCAUGGUUGUCGUCAGCUCGUGCCGUGAGGUGUCGGGUUAAGUCCCAUAACGAGCGCAACCCUUAUCGUUAGUUGCCAUCAGGUAAAGCUGGGCACUCUGGCGAGACUGCCACCGUAAGGUGAGAGGAAGGUGGGGAUGACGUCAAAUCAGCACGGCCCUUACACCCGGGGCUACACACGUGUUACAAUGGCAAGGACAAAGGGCAGCUACCUGGUGACAGGAUGCGAAUCUCUAAACCUUGUCGUAGUUCGGAUUGGAGUCUGCAACCCGACUCCAUGAAGUUGGAUUCGCUAGUAAUCGCGCAUCAGCCAUGGCGCGGUGAAUACGUUCCCGGGCCUUGUACACACCGCCCGUCAA